GGCCCGCUAGCUCAAGUGGCAGAGCAGCUGACUCUUAAUCAGUCGGUUCCAGGUUCGAGUCCUGGGCGGGUCACCA
RNAcentral lists this transfer RNA (76 nucleotides) under Chloroflexota bacterium. Its description in RNAcentral is "Chloroflexi bacterium (freshwater metagenome) tRNA-Lys". It matches the Rfam family "tRNA". From Rfam's summary of the family: Transfer RNA (tRNA) molecules are approximately 80 nucleotides in length. Their secondary structure includes four short double-helical elements and three loops (D, anti-codon, and T loops). Lineage: Bacteria; Bacillati; Chloroflexota. The record is from RNAcentral.